RNAcentral lists this small nuclear RNA (133 nucleotides) under Microtus ochrogaster (prairie vole). Its description in RNAcentral is "U1 spliceosomal RNA (ENSMOCG00000011392.1)". Lineage: Eukaryota; Metazoa; Chordata; Mammalia; Rodentia; Cricetidae. The record is from RNAcentral.
AUAGUAGGCAGUGCCAUGAUUGUGAAGAUGGUUUUCUAUGGCUCUCCAGAUGUGCUAACCCUGCGGCUUCCCCAGAUGUGGGAAAGUGGACUGCAUAGUUUGUGGUAGUGGGGGCUGUUCUUGUUCUCCCCUU